GGAAGCGCAAGGGGUCCGGUGACUCUCGCGGUCUUCAAAACCGCCGAUCGUUAUCUCUGAUGGCGAUGGUGGGUUCGACUCCCACUCGCUUCCGCCA
Molecule: transfer RNA, 97 nt
Filed under: Acidobacteriaceae bacterium
Lineage: Bacteria; Pseudomonadati; Acidobacteriota; Terriglobia; Terriglobales; Acidobacteriaceae
Also listed under: 2 other names
Description: tRNA-Sec
Rfam family: Selenocysteine transfer RNA
Source: RNAcentral